UAGUCCACGCCGUAAACGAUGUCUACUAGCCGUUGGGAGACUUGAUUUCUUAGUGGCGCAGCUAACGCACUAAGUAGACCGCCUGGGGAGUACGGCCGCAAGGUUAAAACUCAAAUGAAUUGACGGGGGCCCGCACAAGCGGUGGAGCAUGUGGUUUAAUUCGAUGCAACGCGAAGAACCUUACCAGGCCUUGACAUCCAGAGAACUUUGUAGAGAUACAUUGGUGCCUUCGGGAACUCUGUGACAGGUGCUGCAUGGCUGUCGUCAGCUCGUGUCGUGAGAUGUUGGGUUAAGUCCCGUAACGAGCGCAACCCUUGUCGUUAGUUGCCAGCGCGUAAUGGCGGGGACUCUAGCGAGACUGCCGGUGUCAAGCCGGAGGAAGGUGGGGACGACGUCAAGUCAUCAUGGGCCCUUAUGGGCUAGGGGCGACACACGUGCUACAAUGGCCGGGUAC
Molecule: ribosomal RNA, 454 nt
Filed under: uncultured bacterium
Lineage: Bacteria
Description: bacterial SSU rRNA
Rfam family: Bacterial small subunit ribosomal RNA
Source: RNAcentral